GCUUGUCUCAAAGAUUAAGCCAUGCAUGUCUUAGUGUAAAUAACUCUUAUGAAACUGCGAAUGGCUCAUUAAAUCAGUUAUCAAAUACGUGAUGGUCGCCUACUACAUGGAUAACCGUAGUAAUUCUAGAGCUAAUACAUGCGUCAAUGCCCGACUUUGGAAGGGCUGUGUUUAUUAGAUCCAAAACCAAUGCGGGGCAACCCGGUUACUGGUGAUUCAUAAUAACCUAUCGGACCGAAUGGCCUUGCGCCGUCGGUGCAUCAUUCAAAUUUCUGCCCUAUCAAUUUGUUGGUAGUAUAUAGGACUACCAAGAUGAUUACGGGUAACGGAGAAUUAGGGUUUGAUUCCGGAGAGGGAGCCUGAGAAACGGCUACCACAUCUAAGGAAGGCAGCAGG
RNAcentral lists this ribosomal RNA (396 nucleotides) under Nutomonas limna. RNAcentral describes it as "Ancyromonas limna partial small subunit ribosomal RNA". It matches the Rfam family "Eukaryotic small subunit ribosomal RNA", at positions 30 to 432 of the family's 1831-position model. Lineage: Eukaryota; Ancyromonadida; Planomonadidae. The record is from RNAcentral.